UACGUAGGGGGCAAGCGUUGUCCGGAAUCAUUGGGCGUAAAGAGCGUGUAGGCGGCCAGAAAAGUCCGCUGUGAAAACUCGAGGCUCAACUUCGAGCUGUCGGUGGAAACUUUCUGGCUAGAGUCCGGAAGAGGAGAAUGGAAUUCCUGGUGUAGCGGUGAAAUGCGCAGAUAUCGGGAGGAACACCUGAGGCGAAGGCGGGCUACUGGGCCGAUACUGACGCUGAGACGCGAAAGCGUGGGGAGCGAACAGG
This 253-nucleotide ribosomal RNA is filed under the name uncultured bacterium. RNAcentral's name for it is "partial 16S ribosomal RNA". It matches the Rfam family "Bacterial small subunit ribosomal RNA", at positions 524 to 776 of the family's 1533-position model. The record is from RNAcentral.